GUGUCAGCCGCCGCGGUAACACCGGCAGCCCAAGUGAUGGCCGAUAUUAUUGGGCCUAAAGCGUCCGUAGCUGGCCGCGUAGGUCCGUCGGGAAAUCUACUGGCCUAACCAGUAGGCGUCCGGCGGAAACCUCGUGGCUUGGGACCGGGAGACCUGAGGGGUACGUCCGGGGUAGGAGUGAAAUCCCGUAAUCCUGGACGGACCACCGGUGGCGAAAGCGCCUCAGGAGAACGGAUCCGCCAGUGAGGGACGAAAGCUAGGGUCUCGAACCGGAUUAGAUACCCGGGUAGUCCUAGCCGUAAACGAGGCUCGUUAGGUGUGGCGCAGGCUACGAGCCUGCGCUGUGCCGUAGGGAAGCCGUGAAACGAGCCGCCUGGGAAGUACGUCCGCAAGGAUGAAACUCAAAGGAAUUGACGGGG
This 419-nucleotide ribosomal RNA is filed under the name uncultured prokaryote. RNAcentral describes it as "bacterial SSU rRNA". It matches the Rfam family "Archaeal small subunit ribosomal RNA", at positions 455 to 873 of the family's 1478-position model. The record is from RNAcentral.